This 412-nucleotide ribosomal RNA is filed under the name bacterium enrichment culture clone ALO1_GLFRUDD03GUDGT. Its description in RNAcentral is "bacterial SSU rRNA". It matches the Rfam family "Bacterial small subunit ribosomal RNA", at positions 9 to 420 of the family's 1533-position model. The record is from RNAcentral.
GAGUUUGAUCGUGGCUCAGAUUGAACGCUGGCGGCAUGCCUUACACAUGCAAGUCGAACGGCAGCACGGGAGCUUGCUCCUGGUGGGCGAGUGGCGAACGGGUGAGUAAUGCAUCGGAACGUAUCCUGGAGUGGGGGAUAACGUAGCGAAAGUUACGCUAAUACCGCAUAUUCUGUGAGCAGGAAAGCGGGGGACCUUCGGGCCUCGCGCUCUUGGAGCGGCCGAUGUCGGAUUAGCUAGUUGGUGAGGUAAAGGCUACACCAAGGCGACGAUCCGUAGCAGGUCUGAGAGGAUGAUCUGCCACACUGGAACUGAGACACGGUCCAGACUCCUACGGGAGGCAGCAGUGGGAAUUUUGGACAAUGGGGGCAACCCUGAUCCAGCCAUGCCGCGUGAGUGAAGAAGGCCUCGG